RNAcentral lists this ribosomal RNA (491 nucleotides) under uncultured bacterium. Its description in RNAcentral is "partial 16S ribosomal RNA". It matches the Rfam family "Bacterial small subunit ribosomal RNA", at positions 29 to 506 of the family's 1533-position model. The record is from RNAcentral.
AGUGAACGCUGGCGGUAGGCCUAACACAUGCAAGUCGAACGGCAGCACAGUAAGAGCUUGCUCUUACGGGUGGCGAGUGGCGGACGGGUGAGGAAUACAUCGGAAUCUACUUUUUCGUGGGGGAUAACGUAGGGAAACUUACGCUAAUACCGCAUACGACCUACGGGUGAAAGCAGGGGAUCUUCGGACCUUGCGCGAUUGAAUGAGCCGAUGUCGGAUUAGCUAGUUGGCGGGGUAAAGGCCCACCAAGGCGACGAUCCGUAGCUGGUCUGAGAGGGUGAGAGGGCAAAUUGGAACGGAGAAACGGCCCAGAUUCGAACGGGAGGCAGCAGUGGGGAAUAUUGGACAAUGGGGGAAAGCCUGAUCCAGCAAUACCGAGUGGGUGAAGAAGGCCUUCGGGUUGUAAAGACAUUUUGUUGGGAAAGAAAAGCAGCAGGUUAAUACCCGGAGGUACUAAGGGUACCCAAAGAAAAAGAACCGGCAAACUUGGU